This 237-nucleotide long non-coding RNA is filed under the name Nicotiana benthamiana. RNAcentral's name for it is "long non-coding RNA (NBEN_LNC001023)". Lineage: Eukaryota; Viridiplantae; Streptophyta; Magnoliopsida; Solanales; Solanaceae. The record is from RNAcentral.
AGCCUUUGCUAUCGCCAUCACCUUCAUUUAGCUCACUUGAUUCUCUCUCUUGUUUUCUUGUUAAUAAACCAAAGUCUGAUACCACAUCCCCCUCACUCUCACCUUCAACCUCAGAUUACUCCAGUUCUUUCACCUUUUCUCCCUCAUCUUCUAAUUGGUCCGACUUGGCAUACCUAUCUGCACAGCCUUCACCUACAAGAUUUGAAUACGAAGAUCCUAACUUUGUGAAGAAUGAUU